GAUGAACGCUGGCGGCGUGCCUAAUACAUGCAAGUCGAGCGAACAGACGAGGAGCUUGCUCCUCUGACGUUAGCGGCGGACGGGUGAGUAACACGUGGAUAACCUACCUAUAAGACUGGGAUAACUUCGGGAAACCGGAGCUAAUACCGGAUAAUAUAUUGAACCGCAUGGUUCAAUAGUGAAAGACGGUUUUGCUGUCUCUUAUAGAUGGAUCUGCGCCGCAUUAGCUAGUUGGUAAGGUAACGGCUUACCAAGGCGACGAUGCGUAGCCGACCUGAGAGAGUGAUCGGCCGCACUGGAACUGAGACACGGUCCAGACUCCUACGGGAGGGAGCAGUAGGGAAUCUUCCGCAAUGGGCGAAAGCCUGACGGAGCAACGCCGCGUGAGUGAUGAAGGUCUUCGGAUCGUAAAACUCUGUUAUUAGGGAAGAACAAAUGUGUAAGUAACUAUGCACGUCUUGACGGUACCUAAUCAGAAAGCAACGGCUAACUACGUG
This 497-nucleotide ribosomal RNA is filed under the name uncultured bacterium. Its description in RNAcentral is "partial 16S ribosomal RNA". It matches the Rfam family "Bacterial small subunit ribosomal RNA", at positions 28 to 507 of the family's 1533-position model. The record is from RNAcentral.